Acanthosepion pharaonis is the source of this 95-nucleotide non-coding RNA. Lineage: Eukaryota; Metazoa; Mollusca; Cephalopoda; Sepiida; Sepiidae. The record is from the annotation of a GenBank genome assembly.
UGAAACACCGGUUGCCUUACGAACACCGAAGUUAAGAAACGUCGAGCCUGGUUAGUAUCUCGAUGGGUGAUAGCUUGGGAAUUCCAGGUUCUGUA